Molecule: ribosomal RNA, 489 nt
Filed under: Metamycoplasma buccale
Lineage: Bacteria; Bacillati; Mycoplasmatota; Mycoplasmoidales; Metamycoplasmataceae
Description: bacterial LSU rRNA
Rfam family: Bacterial large subunit ribosomal RNA
Source: RNAcentral
ACAGCUCACUUGUCGAGUGUUUUUGCGCCGAAGAUGUAACGGGGCUAAGUAUAUUACCGAAUUUAUGGAUAAGAUUUAUAUCUUGUGGUAGACGAGCGUUGUAUUGGAGUUGAAGUCAAAGCGUGAGCAUUGGUGGAUCCAAUACAAGUGAGAAUGCCGGCGUGAGUAACGCUUGGGAGUGAGAAUCUCCCAAACCGAUUGACUAAGGUUUCCUGGACCAGGGUCGUCCUUCCAGGGUUAGUCUGGACCUAAGCUGAGGCUGAAAAGCGUAGGCGAUGGACAACAGGUUAAUAUUCCUGUACUUACAGUUAGACUGAUGGAGUGACAAAGAAGGUUUUCCACCCCCAUAAUUGGAUUUGGGGAUAAAUCAUAAGGUGGUACAAUAGGCAAAUCCGUUGUGCAUAACAUUGAGUGAUGAUGUCGAGUGAAUGAGUGAUCAAGUAGCGAAGGUGGUAUUAAUCAUGCUUUCAAGAAAAGCUUCUAGGGUUA